This 497-nucleotide ribosomal RNA is filed under the name uncultured bacterium. Its description in RNAcentral is "partial 16S ribosomal RNA". It matches the Rfam family "Bacterial small subunit ribosomal RNA", at positions 28 to 507 of the family's 1533-position model. The record is from RNAcentral.
GAUGAACGCUGGCGGCGUGCCUAAUACAUGCAAGUCGAGCGAACAGACGAGGAGCUUGCUCCUCUGACGUUAGCGGCGGACGGGUGAGUAACACGUGGAUAACCUACCUAUAAGACUGGGAUAACUUCGGGAAACCGGAGCUAAUACCGGAUAAUAUAUUGAACCGCAUGGUUCAAUAGUGAAAGACGGUUUUGCUGUCACUUAUAGAUGGAUCCGUGCCGCAUUAGCUAGUUGGUAAGGUAACGGCUUACCAAGGCAACGAUGCGUAGCCGACCUGAGAGGGUGAUCAGCCACACUGGAACUGAGACACGGUCCAGACUCCUACGGGAGGCAGCAGUAGGGAAUCUUCCGCAAUGGGCGAAAGCCUGACGGAGCAACGCCGCGUGAGUGAUGAAGGUCUUCGGAUCGUAAAGCUCUGUUAUUAGGGAAGAACAAAUGUGUAAGUAACUAUGCACGUCUUGACGGUACCUAAUCAGAAAGCCACGGCUAACUACGUG